AGCCUCUCAUGCGCAGUAGUUUGCACAACUCGCACCGGGAGCGCGGCGCGUCCACGUCCGUAAAACACCCAACUUCUGAAAUGU
This 84-nucleotide ribosomal RNA is filed under the name Trichoderma sp. 3S2I. RNAcentral's name for it is "28S ribosomal RNA". Lineage: Eukaryota; Fungi; Ascomycota; Sordariomycetes; Hypocreales; Hypocreaceae. The record is from RNAcentral.